AGCUCGACCGGGUCGACCGCGCGCGUCACCAGCAGGUAGUCGCGGAUGCAGAUGCCGUGCCUGCCCUC
Non-coding RNA from Amycolatopsis australiensis, 68 nucleotides. Lineage: Bacteria; Bacillati; Actinomycetota; Actinomycetes; Pseudonocardiales; Pseudonocardiaceae. The record is from Rfam.